AAUUAAUAAAUUAAUAUAAAAUA
This 23-nucleotide transfer RNA is filed under the name Apis mellifera (honey bee). RNAcentral's name for it is "partial tRNA-Leu". The record is from RNAcentral. Lineage: Eukaryota; Metazoa; Arthropoda; Insecta; Hymenoptera; Apidae.